Molecule: non-coding RNA, 203 nt
Organism: Pelobates cultripes (western spadefoot toad)
Lineage: Eukaryota; Metazoa; Chordata; Amphibia; Anura; Pelobatidae
Source: the annotation of a GenBank genome assembly
AACCAACCUCGCCACUGUACACUGGAGAAGCCUGGUUGCUCGCCUGCUGCCUUUGGACUAUGGCCCCGUGUUAAAAGACAUCUUUUUCCCUGCAGAAAAGACUUAUUCGUGCUUUUCUGCCGGGUGUUCGGUAGAUUCAAUCUACUGAACAACCGCACGAAUGAAUAGACCACCUGGGAGCUGGAGUGUGCCGGCAAUUAACC